GAAAGACUACAGCAAAAACUAGACAUUUUCAGAUAGAAAUAAAGUCUAAAAUAAACUGAGGAGGAGGCCAAUAGGAACUGAAAACCCUUAAACAGAAGAAGAGUUACAUAUCCAGUUAUCAGAGGAGGGGCCUCAUAGUCAAACACUGGUAUAGACUGGGUAUACCUGCAACCAUGAGGAUGUCUCUGUAGAGGAACUACUCAGCUCUCUCACUGUCUUAUCUCUCAGUUGGUUUAUCUAUUCUGUCAGGAUGUCACUCAUAUUACUGUUUCUCCUCUCUGCAUUUGUAGCUGAUAGUAUGGAGCAGGAAACAAUAACUCCAGUGAAGCCUGAAGUCAAUGCUCUCCAAGGAACAGACAUCACUCUCUCCUGCAACUACAAGGGCAACGUUAAUAAUCUACAAUGGUACCGUCACUACCCCGGAUCUAGCCCAGAAUGUCUUCUUUUGAUCCUACCAACCAACAAGUAUGUUCAGAAUACAUCCAUUACGACUCCACGACACACUGGUAGACUGAAUGAAGAGAAGACCCGUGUUGACUUGAUGAUCUCCUCUGUUGAAUUGGAAGACUCUGCUCUGUACCACUGCGCCUUGCAGCCCACAGUGACAGGAAACCCAGACACACUGUACAAGAACCUGCCAAGACCCUUGGGGAUGAACAGUGCAUUGUGUUCUGAUCAAUCAGUUAUUAUUUAGAGUACAUUAAUACAUCUAUUUUCCCCUGCAUCUCCACAUUAAAACACAUUUAAUAUAAAUAUUAUUCAGGAAAUAAUAAUUAAUAUUGUCUGCAUCUUCCUGUUCUGAUAUAACAUGAUCAAAGAUACCAGUCUGAAUAAAUAUAGAAUGAAGAACAUUUGUGGUGUUGAUUUGCUUCCUUUUAGCAAAGGUUCACAAACUUUUUCAAUCGGUGACCCCAUUCCAGGAUUGUGGAACAUCACGCAAUGUUUAUUCAUGUGAUAUUUGAGUGACAAAACAUUAACAAUAUCUAUGGGCUAAAAA
Molecule: non-coding RNA, 997 nt
Organism: Salmo salar (Atlantic salmon)
Lineage: Eukaryota; Metazoa; Chordata; Actinopteri; Salmoniformes; Salmonidae
Source: the annotation of a RefSeq genome assembly